GCCGUCCACGGAGAUAUCAGGCAGUAGCUAUAAUACGGCUGGCACAUGCAAUUCCCCAAAAUUUUAUUCAUACCCAAUAAAAGUUAAGGUCAUACGCCAAUUUUAUCGUAUGUAAAGUGAAUUUCACAAAAAACAUUGUUAGAUGCCAAAACUUGGCCUAUUUCAUAAAUUCGAGGACACUAUAUAAUCUAUAGAAAAUGAUCAUUUUGUAAAGUUAAAUAAUACCCAAUACAAUAAAAUUUGUCCAGAAAGUAUAAACAAUAUUUGAAGGAAAUUCCUUAAUAAUUAAGAUGAAACAAUCAAAUUGCUGGGAAACAAUGCUGUUGUUGAGCAUUUACUGACAGAAGUAGCCAAAAAACCAGUAAUUUGAGUUACCUCCCUUGGCGUAAAAAAAUGUAAAAUGAUCCGAAACUUGCAUAAAUUGUAAUUUUCGAAGAAAACAGUAUUUAUUUAGAACAUUUUUCACUUAUCUCGAUUUGUUUAUCAAGUGUAAACGUGGAAUUAAUUUUUUUUUUUAAAUUUGAUGGUGAAAAAUAAAUAUUCAGCCCGGACCUUAUUAAAGUUUCGUGGGUAAACAGAUAUGGCUGACAAGUGAUAGAAACGUGAAGUUUUUCUAGGAGUGGUCCUUAUUUUAGGGACUUGUCAACCCUUAAUAAUUGUUCAAAAGACAUAAGUGGAUAUUCAAGAUAUUUUAAAGUUGGAACUGCGUGUAAUAUUCAUCCGAGAUUGACCCCCUGCUGUACAGAUCGGGGUAGAUCUACUUCGAAUUCGACGUAAAAGUUUAACUGUUUAAACUAUCGUGCACGGUGCAGAUGCUUACUAGUAUGCCGAGGUCAUUGCGAUUCUUUGGGGAUUUACUGGAGGCAACCACCACCAAUUGUUGUUAUCUACUACACAAAGGAAAGUGUAAAGCAGACAGAGCAGUAAACUUCAAUGUUUCAAGGGAAAUAUUUGUUCCCGUUGGAAGUGAUUUGGAAAAUAAUUAUAGUCAAAUCACCCCUACUGCAAGCCAAUUAUCAGACUGUAUCAAUCUCAGCUGAGUCCAAGAUAGGAAGAGGCUUUGGAGAGAACACAGAAUUACUACAGACAAAAGACUUGUGAAGUUAUAAGGGGAAUUGCAGAACUCAUAGCUCCACUUCAAUCUAGAUAUGUUGACAGUUAUUUCACAGAAACACUUUGCAGCUGACAAAGAUAAUCAAAUGAUGACCACUACUUUAACUCUAUGGUUGCAGCAUAUUUCAAUUUUUGAAGUGACAAAUUUUAUUCCUGUUUGUGAACCAAUAUUCAAAAGAAACACUGCUAUGGCAUUAUACAUAAAUUAGAAGAGUGGUGGGGUGGCAAAAUAAGAUUCCACACUGUGAAAUGUAUCAAUUGUUAAUAUACAUGUAUCAAUAUAAAUUCAGUGCCAAUUUUCAUAAUUUCUAGGGGAAAAGUUUGUUUGUAACAAUUGUCAGAAAUAUGUACUAGCUCUUACUUUGCAAACCAUGCUACUAAGUACCAGGCAUUAAGACAUGAUUUGUUUAUUGUCAUUUGUUAAACAGAGACAGUUCCAGUGAUUUGAAAGGGGGGGUCCAGAAAAAUGAUCUAAAAUCUGCAUUAGGUCAUAUCCAAUGAAUUGAUAAAGUAAAUAUGUUUAUUAUUGAUUGCUAGUUACAUGUAACCUUUUAUGCAUCAGUUGAAGAUACUUUAUGAACAUUUUCUGUCACUGGGUAAAAUUCAACAAACAUUUUGUGUAUCUGGAAGUGGUCAAUAUAUAUUUCAACAUCAGAGUAAACAUGCAUUAAAGCAAGUCAGCCAAUCUGAUGUAGGCAGAAAAUGGAAUAUGGCAUGAUAUUUCAUGAAUGCAAAGGGAAAUGCUUUACAAGAGAGUCAAAAAAUUUCUGGUUAAUGCUAAAUAACUAUCUAGAUGUCCCAGAGAAAAGGAGAGGGUGUUUUCUACCCCUCCCCCCAACCCCCUCGGGAUCUGCCAAUGUCAAGUUUGUAAUGUGAGUGAAUGAUUUUAGAUUCUUCAUGAUAGGCAAUUUAUUAAAAUUUGAUUUACUGAUAAUUUUAACUUCAUAUAUGUGUAUUAAUUAAUUGACUAUUAUCUCAAAUCCUGUGUCAGAAAUGACCUCUAAAAAUCAACAUUAUAAAAUUUUAUACAAUGAAUUACAUAGGCAUUUUUUUUUGCCUUUAUUAUAUAGAAUGUAUACAAAGACAUGAAAUUUAUUUCUGAAUGUUCAUAUGUUCUAGUAAUUUUUCUUGAAUUUUAAUCAUUUAAUCAUUGAUUUGUUAUAUUUACGUCAUAUUUAUUUCUAUUUAUGUAGUUCAACAAUCUUCAUUUAAGUAGUUGACCUCUUUGCACUUAUUGAAAAUUUUGAGAUUUCAGUUCAACUUUUCACCAUCAAACCUUGAUUUUCCCACUGAAUUUAUUUUUGUAACUUGAAAUACACCUCUUCAAGUUUCUGGUUAUACAUAAUUUAUUUCUUUUGAGACAUUGUAUUGGGUUUUGUGAGAUCUUAUAUUUUGAUCAUUAUUUUGUAAAAUAUAUUGGUGUGAAAUAUGUGCAAUUUUAACAAUUAAUAAAUUCAUUCAUUGGAUGAAUAUACACACAAAAA
This is a long non-coding RNA of Ostrea edulis (European flat oyster), 2597 nucleotides long. RefSeq lists it as uncharacterized. The transcript has 3 exons. The record is from RefSeq and is a predicted model, not a curated record. NCBI's taxonomy places the organism in Eukaryota, Metazoa, Mollusca, Bivalvia, Ostreida, Ostreidae.